AAGAUGGACCCGCGUCUGAUUAGCUGUUGGCGGGGUAAAGGCCCACCAAGGCGACGAUCAGUAGCCGGCCUGAGAGGGUGGACGGCCACAUUGGGACUGAGACACGGCCCAGACUCCUACGGAAGGCAGCAG
This 132-nucleotide ribosomal RNA is filed under the name uncultured bacterium. Its description in RNAcentral is "partial 16S ribosomal RNA". It matches the Rfam family "Bacterial small subunit ribosomal RNA", at positions 222 to 354 of the family's 1533-position model. The record is from RNAcentral.